RNAcentral lists this ribosomal RNA (1169 nucleotides) under uncultured archaeon. RNAcentral describes it as "bacterial SSU rRNA". It matches the Rfam family "Archaeal small subunit ribosomal RNA", at positions 235 to 1413 of the family's 1478-position model. The record is from RNAcentral.
GGCGGGGUAACGGCCCACCCAACCAAAGAUCCAUAGGGCCUUGAGAGAGGGAGCCCCGAGAAGGACACUGAGAUACUGGUCCUAGCCCUACGGGGUGCAGCAGGCGCGAAACCUUUACAAUGCACGAAAGUGUGAUAAGGGGAUCCAGAGUGCCUAUACAUUGUAUAGGCUUUUGCCAAAGUUAAAUCCUUUGGCGAAUAAGUGGUGGGCAAGACUGGUGCCAGCCGCCGCGGUAACACCAGCGCCACGAGUGGCAACCAUGAUUAUUGGGCCUAAAGCGUUCGUAGCCGGUUUGGUAAAUCUUCUGUGAAAUUGUACAGCUUAACUGAACAGCGUGCAGGAGACACUACCAGACUUGAGACCGGGAGGAGCUGAGGGUAUUCUUGGGGGAGCGGUAAAAUGCUAUAAUCCCUUGAAGACCACCUGUGGCGAAGGCGCUCAGCUAGAACGGAUCUGACGGUGAGGGACGAAAGCCAGGGGAGCGAUCCGGAUUAGAUACCCGAGUAGUCCUGGCCGUAAACGCUGCGAGCUAGGUGUUGCACACACUCCGAGUUUGUGCAGUGUCGAAGCGAAGGCAUUAAGCUCGCCGCCUGGGAAGUACGGUCGCAAGACUGAAACUUAAAGGUAUUGGCGGGGGAGCACCACAAGGGGUGCGGCGUGCGGUUUAAUCUAACUCAACACAGAAAAUUUCACCAGUAGCGACGGCAGAAUGAAGGUCAGUCUGAAGGGCUUACCCAACGAGCCGAGAGGUAGUGCAUGGCCGUCGUCAGCUCGUGCCGUGAGGUGUCCUGUUAAGUCAGGCAACGAGCGAGACCUGUAUCUACAAUUGCUAACUGCCUUUGGGACAGAGCACAUUGUAGAGACUGCCCGUGAAAACGGGAGGAAGGUGCAGGCAACGGUAGGUCUGUAUGCUCCGAAUCCACUGGGCUACACGCGCGCAACAAUGGUUGGGACAAUGGGAUGCAACUCCGAAAGGAGAAGCUAAUCCUCUAAACCCAGUCUAAGUCCAGAUUGAGGAUUGUAACUCAUCCUCAUGACGAUGGAAUCCCUAGUAAUCGGACUUCAUCAGAGUCCGGUGAAUAUGUCCCUGCUCCUUGCACACACCGCCCGUCAAACCACUCGAGCAGAGUUUAGGUAAGGGUUAACCUAUUAGUUCAUCCGAAUCUAAG